GGGUUUUUAAACUAACAAAUUUUGUUUGGUUUGAAACAGGUAAAUGGAAUGUCAGUGAAGACCAUAAGGGAAAAUGCAAACUGGGGCAGAAAAUUUUCUUUUCAGUUAGAAAAUUUUCUAGAAAUCAGGUACCCAUUUGGGGAAGAAUAAAGAUAGCACCAAGGAAGUGGUCUUUGAACCAGGGUUUCCCCCAACAUAAUAAGCUUCCAAUGGAGGAAGUUGAUCCCCAGCAGACAGAUCAAAGAGAUGACAUUUGUGCUCAGAAAAGCAAAGAGCCAUUAUCUUCCCCAGCAGCUUCCAGAAGAAUGAAGCAUCGAUUUGAAGGGAUAAAAUUCCCCAGCAGCGUUAUCCUCAACAACGUUAUCCCAAGAAGAUAACACUUUUAUCCCCAGCAGUGUUAAGAAAGAAAAAAAAGAAAAAAAAAUUGAAUUUGAAGGAAGGAAAGAAAGGAGACUCCCCCAGUAGUAUUAUCCCCAGCAAUCAGGCGUCCACCUGGAGAACAAGGAAGAGCAACAGAAGUACUAGAAGUCAGGCGUCCACCUGGAGAACAAGGAUGAGUAAUGGAAGUAUUAGCAAUCAGGCGUCCACCUGGAGAACAAGGAAGAGCAAUGAAAGAAACAGCAAUCAGGCAUCCACCUGGAGAACAAGGAUGAGUAGUUGAAGUAUUAGUAAUCAGGCAUCCACCUGGAGAACAAGGAAGAGCAAUGAAAUAUCAGAAAUCAGGCGUCCACCUGGAGAACAAGGAAGAGCAAUGAAAUAUCAGAAAUCAGGCGUCCACCUGGAGAACAAGGAAGAGCAAUGAAAGAAAC
Molecule: long non-coding RNA, 809 nt
Filed under: Nicotiana tabacum (common tobacco)
Lineage: Eukaryota; Viridiplantae; Streptophyta; Magnoliopsida; Solanales; Solanaceae
Description: long non-coding RNA (NTAB_LNC015704)
Source: RNAcentral